GAGCCAAUAUCUCUGCUUUUUACCAUUCAAUUGAUCUCAAAAUUUUCAUACGUAAAGAAUAACAAGUCUAAUAUCCUCACAUAUAAAUUUCACUCCAAUCCAACUAGUAGAUUACAAAAAAUCUUAAAAACCCUCACUAGACCUAAAAUUCUAUUUUCUAAGACCUUGACCCACUUAAACCUCAAUAAUCCUCAAUUUAACUAUUAGAUCGAGCU
Molecule: long non-coding RNA, 215 nt
Filed under: Physcomitrium patens
Lineage: Eukaryota; Viridiplantae; Streptophyta; Bryopsida; Funariales; Funariaceae
Description: long non-coding RNA (PPAT_LNC007853)
Source: RNAcentral